GUAAGGUUCGCUAUAGACGCGAUUAAAAAGGGAAUGGAGUGGAAAUCUCCGACUGUCCCGCAGCUGUAAGUUCCAUUAUACUCACAAGCAACAAGCCACUGCCAAUGACGGGAAGGCGCUUGAGGGUGGAACAGAGUCAGAAGACCUGCCUUAUGUA
This 157-nucleotide non-coding RNA is filed under the name uncultured Prevotella sp. Lineage: Bacteria; Pseudomonadati; Bacteroidota; Bacteroidia; Bacteroidales; Prevotellaceae. The record is from RNAcentral.